This 77-nucleotide non-coding RNA is filed under the name Candidatus Frackibacter sp. WG11. RNAcentral also lists the same sequence under 2 other names. The record is from RNAcentral. Lineage: Bacteria; Bacillati; Bacillota; Clostridia; Halanaerobiales; Halobacteroidaceae.
UUGAGCUGUGUGAUGGGAAACUAUCAUGCGCAGUUCUGAUGGGGGAAAGGGGCUGAAAAGCCCCCGACCUACCAGAC